This 639-nucleotide ribosomal RNA is filed under the name uncultured Actinomycetes bacterium. Its description in RNAcentral is "bacterial SSU rRNA". It matches the Rfam family "Bacterial small subunit ribosomal RNA", at positions 232 to 885 of the family's 1533-position model. Lineage: Bacteria; Bacillati; Actinomycetota; Actinomycetes. The record is from RNAcentral.
CGCGGCCUAUCAGCUUGUUGGUGGGGUAACGGCCUACCAAGGCAUCGACGGGUAGCUGGUCUGAGAGGAUGAUCAGCCACACUGGGACUGAGACACGGCCCAGACUCCUACGGGAGGCAGCAGUGGGGAAUCUUGCGCAAUGGGCGAAAGCCUGACGCAGCAACGCCGCGUGCGGGAAGAGGGCCCUAGGGUUGUAAACCGCUUUCAGUAGGAACGAAAAUGACGGUACCUGCAGAAGAAGGUGCAGCCAACUACGUGCCAGCAGCCGCGGUGACACGUAGGCACCAAGCGUUGUCCGGAUUUAUUGGGCGUAAAGAGCUCGUAGGCGGUUGAGUAAGUCGGGUGUGAAAACUCUGGGCUUAACCCAGAGCCGCCACUCGAUACUGCUCUGACUUGAGUUCGGUAGGGGAGCAGGGAAUUCCUAGUGUAGCGGUGAAAUGCGCAGAUAUUAGGAGGAACACCGGUGGCGAAGGCGCUGCUCUGGGCCGAAACUGACGCUGAGGAGCGAAAGCGUGGGUAGCAAACAGGAUUAGAUACCCUGGUAGUCCACGCCGUAAACGUUGGGCACUAGGUGCGGGUUCCAACCAACGGAAUCCGCGCCGUCGCUAACGCAUUAAGUGCCCCGCCUGGGGAGUACGG